This 253-nucleotide ribosomal RNA is filed under the name uncultured bacterium. RNAcentral describes it as "partial 16S ribosomal RNA". It matches the Rfam family "Bacterial small subunit ribosomal RNA", at positions 524 to 776 of the family's 1533-position model. The record is from RNAcentral.
UACGUAUGGUGCGAGCGUUAAUCGGAAUUACUGGGCGUAAAGUGUGCGUAGGUGGCCGCGCAAGUCGAGUGUGAAAUCCCCGAGCUUAACUUGGGAAUUGCGCUCGAAACUACGUGGCUCGAGUGUGGCAGAGGAAGGUGGAAUUCCACGUGUAGCGGUGAAAUGCGUAGAGAUGUGGAGGAACACCGAUGGCGAAGGCAGCCUUCUGGGCCAACACUGACGCUCAUGCACGAAAGCGUGGGGAGCAAACAGG